CACCAAAACCUGUAAUAAACGGCCAUAACAGACAUGGAUGUAAUUCCAAAGCUAGACAUGACAGCGGCAACGAGGUAAGUAAACCUUUCGGAUCUCUUUCUAGCUAAUUUCUCCGACAGACGCGCCGGUAUUAAGAUCUGACGAUCUCUAACUUCCUCGAAUCCUUGUUCCACGAUCUGGGUAGGAGCGCUCUGCUUCUGUUCUUCAUCCACCACGAAACAAACAGCAAAGCUUUUCUUUCUUCGAGCUCCGUAGGUUGUUAUUUUUGGGAGGUGCAGUAAAGGAUGGAAAAUUGGAGCAGGCUUCAGCAGCGGAAAUGAGCGGAAGGGUUU
Molecule: long non-coding RNA, 332 nt
Filed under: Gossypium barbadense (sea-island cotton)
Lineage: Eukaryota; Viridiplantae; Streptophyta; Magnoliopsida; Malvales; Malvaceae
Description: long non-coding RNA (GBAR_LNC008560)
Source: RNAcentral